This is a long non-coding RNA of Perca flavescens (yellow perch), 496 nucleotides long. RefSeq lists it as uncharacterized. Lineage: Eukaryota; Metazoa; Chordata; Actinopteri; Perciformes; Percidae. The record is from RefSeq and is a predicted model, not a curated record. The transcript has 3 exons.
GUUUCACUGGCGGGACACUGGAGUCAAGCUGUUCGGUUUAGCUAAGUCCCAAUGUGUCGAGAGAGAAAAAGGGAUGCAGUUGUUUGUCGCCUCAUUGAGUACCUUGGGGAACAUCAAGAAGAUCUCAUCCAAGAUUGCUAGGAUGAAAAUGAGGACAACAUGGACUAAACCAUGAAGGUGCUUGUGAUCCAUAAUCCUGCAGCCAAGGAGCAUACAGCAGAUGUGUUGAUUGCGAUGGAGGGAAACAAAGUGCUGAACGUGUGUGGAAACCGAACCAAGGCAUGUGUGCUGUUGAUGGGAUUGAUCUACGCUCUCAAACUUGAGUAUUCCAAGAAGCUUGAGUAUACUUAAAGUAUUUCAGAAACUCUUUUGGUGCUUGACAGAGCAAAGCUGCUCAAGAAGGUCCAGAGCCUCAAAAGUAAGCUAAUGAUGAACUGUUUGUCACCGUAUUCAGGCACAGACUGUUUCCUGGGAACUUACUGUUGGUGCUGAAGAA